GACGAACCGUGCGGACGUUAUUCGGAAUCAUUGGGCUUAAAGGUCGCGUAGGCGGGCGACCGCGUCGAGUGCUGAAAGCCCCCGGCUCAACCGGGGAACGGGCCUCGAAACGGGUCGCCUGGAGGCGAGGCGGGGGACCUGGAACGUCCGGUGGAGCGGUGAAAUGCGUUGAGAUCGGACGGAACGCCGACGGCGAAAGCAAGGUCCUGGACUCGUCCUGACGCUGAGGCGCGAAAGCCAGGGGAGCGAACGGG
Molecule: ribosomal RNA, 254 nt
Filed under: uncultured bacterium
Lineage: Bacteria
Description: partial 16S ribosomal RNA
Rfam family: Bacterial small subunit ribosomal RNA
Source: RNAcentral